UGCAAGGGCACUCUGUGUCACAUUGAUUAUUUUACCACAAGUGGAACAAUUUGUAACCUUGCUAGACAAAAAUUGGGUCAUUUGAAACUUCAUAUUUCUAAUUUUAUUGUGAAUUUGAAAUUGUUUUCAAAUAUCAC
This is a small nucleolar RNA of Musca vetustissima, 137 nucleotides long. RefSeq annotates it as small nucleolar RNA psi18S-841/snoR66. The record is from RefSeq and is a predicted model, not a curated record. Lineage: Eukaryota; Metazoa; Arthropoda; Insecta; Diptera; Muscidae. The transcript has a single exon.